AGUGAACGCUGGCGGCGUGCUUAACACAUGCAAGUCGAACGAGAACGGAUUAAAGCUUGCUUUAAUUGUCAGCUAAGUGGCGCACGGGUGAGUAAUAUAUAGGUAACGUGCCUUCAAGAAGGGGAUAACAAUUGGAAACGAUUGCUAAUACCGCAUAAUGUCUACGGACCAAAGGGGGCUUCGGCUCGCACCAGAAGAGGAACCUAAGCGAGAUUAGCUUGUUGGUGAGGUAAAGGCUCACCAAGGCGACGAUCUCUAGCUGUUCUGAGAGGAAGAUCAGCCACACUGGGACUGAGACACGGCCCAG
RNAcentral lists this ribosomal RNA (307 nucleotides) under uncultured bacterium. RNAcentral's name for it is "bacterial SSU rRNA". It matches the Rfam family "Bacterial small subunit ribosomal RNA", at positions 29 to 334 of the family's 1533-position model. The record is from RNAcentral.